RNAcentral lists this ribosomal RNA (503 nucleotides) under uncultured bacterium. Its description in RNAcentral is "partial 16S ribosomal RNA". It matches the Rfam family "Bacterial small subunit ribosomal RNA", at positions 30 to 523 of the family's 1533-position model. The record is from RNAcentral.
AUUGAACGCUGGCGGCAGGCUUAACACAUGCAAGUCGAGCGGAGUGAUGGUGCUUGCACUAUCACUUAGCGGCGGACGGGUGAGUAAUGCUUAGGAAUCUGCCUAUUAGUGGGGGACAACAUCUCGAAAGGGAUGCUAAUACCGCAUACGUCCUACGGGAGAAAGCAGGGGAUCACUUGUGACCUUGCGCUAAUAGAUGAGCCUAAGUCGGGUGAGCUAGUUGGUGGGGUAAAGGCCUACCAAGGCGAGGAUCUGUAGCGGGUCUGAGAGGAUGAUCCGCCACACUGGGAGUGAGACACGGACCAGACUCCUACGGGAGGCAGCAGUGGGGAAUAUUGGACAAUUGGGGGAACCCUGAUCCAGCCAUGCCGCGUGUGUGAAGAAGGCCUUAUGGUUGUAACGCACUUUAAGCGAGGAGGAGGCUCUUUUGGUUAAUACCCAAGAUGAGUGGACGUUACUCGCAGAAUAAGCACCGGCUAACUCUGUGCCAGCCGCCGCAGUAA